GCUGUCUGAUUCAAAGACAGGAGCGCACGCGAGCAGAUGGAAACCAUGGAAACGAGGAAACCUCAUCAACUGACAAACAGCAAAACUAGCGUCUCUCGCUGUUGUUUUCGCUUCUUUCAGAAAUGGUUUUGUGUCUUCGAAAAAGUCCGUUAGCAUCUCAACCGUUUUCAGAAUAGCGCUUUUCUAGGCACUCAAAGCGCUUCACAUAGAAGGGGGAAUCUCCUCAACCACCACCAAUGUGCAGCAUCCACUUGGAUGAUGCGACGGCAGCCAUAUUGCGCCAGAACGCCCACCACACACCAGCU
Long non-coding RNA from Rhinichthys klamathensis goyatoka, 305 nucleotides. RefSeq lists it as uncharacterized. The transcript is spliced from 3 exons. Lineage: Eukaryota; Metazoa; Chordata; Actinopteri; Cypriniformes; Leuciscidae. The record is from RefSeq and is a predicted model, not a curated record.